UGGGGAAUUGUUCGCAAUGGGCGCAAGCCUGACGACGCAACGCCGCGUGGAGGAUGAAGGUCUUCGGAUUGUAAACUCCUGUUGCCCGGGACGAAUAGCUUCGACCUAAUACGUCGGAGUAUGACGGUACCGGGUGAGGAAGCCCCGGCUAACUCUGUGCCAGCAGCCGCGGUAAUACAGAGGGGGCAAGCGUUGUUCGGAAUUACUGGGCGUAAAGGGCGCGUAGGCGGCCUGUUAAGUCGAACGUGAAAUCCCUGGGCUUAACCCAGGAACUGCGUCCGAUACUGGCUGGCUUGAAUCCGGGAGAGGGAUGCGGAAUUCCAGGUGUAGCGGUGAAAUGCGUAGAUAUCAAGAGGAACACCUGAGGUGAAGACGGGUUGCUGGGCUGACACUGACGCUGAGGCGCGAAAGCCAGGGGAGCAAACGGGGAUUAGAUACCCAAGUAGUCCCUGAGCGGGCUGGCAAGGCGCAU
RNAcentral lists this ribosomal RNA (472 nucleotides) under uncultured bacterium. RNAcentral's name for it is "bacterial SSU rRNA". It matches the Rfam family "Bacterial small subunit ribosomal RNA", at positions 355 to 825 of the family's 1533-position model. The record is from RNAcentral.